RNAcentral lists this ribosomal RNA (465 nucleotides) under uncultured bacterium. RNAcentral describes it as "partial 16S ribosomal RNA". It matches the Rfam family "Bacterial small subunit ribosomal RNA", at positions 28 to 507 of the family's 1533-position model. The record is from RNAcentral.
GACGAACGCUGGCGGCGUGCUUAACACAUGCAAGUCGAACGGAAAGGCCCCCUUGUGGGGUACUCGAGUGGCGAACGGGUGAGUAACACGGGAGUAACCUACCCUUGACUUUGGGAUAACUUCAGGAAACUGGGGCUAAUACCGGAUAGGAGCUCCUGCUGCAUGGUGGGGGUUGGAAAGUUUCGGCGGUUGGGGAUGGACUCGCGGCUUAUCAGCUUGUUGGUGGGGUAGUGGCUCACCAAGGCUUUGACGGGUAGCCGGCCUGAGAGGGUGACCGGCCACAUUGGGACUGAGAUACGGCCCAGACUCCUACGGGAGGCAGCAGUGGGGAAUAUUGCACAAUGGGCGGAAGCCUGAUGCAGCAACGCCGCGUGCGGGAUGACGGCCUUCGGGUUGUAACCCGCUUUCGCCUGUGACGAAGCGUGAGUGACGGUAAUGGGUAAAGAAGCACCGGCUAACUACGUG